Molecule: small nuclear RNA, 147 nt
Filed under: Salvator merianae (Argentine black and white tegu)
Lineage: Eukaryota; Metazoa; Chordata; Lepidosauria; Squamata; Teiidae
Description: U4 spliceosomal RNA (ENSSMRG00000016043.1)
Rfam family: U4 spliceosomal RNA
About the family: U4 small nuclear RNA (U4 snRNA) is a component of the major U2-dependent spliceosome. The structure of U4 snRNA from yeast and human has been reported.
Source: Rfam by way of RNAcentral
AGCUUUGCACAGUAGCAGUACUGUAUCCAUUGAGGUUUAUCCGAGGUGCGAUUAUUGCUAAUUGAAAACUUCUCCCAAUACUCGGCCAUGACGACUUUAAAUAUAGUUGGGGGGAAAAAAUCUAGAGAAACCUCCAGACAGCAGAGG